CGAACCAAACAGCCCCUUUUUUCUUUUUCUCCUUAACCAACAGCCCUAACCAAAUGCUUAACUGAUCUCCUCUCUCUUCAACCUAACCAUGGCUGCCACCCCUUCCACCCCGUCAUGUCCAUCACCUCACCACCACCAAACCCAUCCAACAGAACCCUAGGCCUCUCCCAUCACCUAUUUCCCAUCAAACUCUCUCUCAAUACAACAGAUACAAGCUAGGAUCAUCAGACUCUCGCUCUCAACGGCUCUCUUCCUUUCCAAUCAGUCUGAAAAGUGGAAAACCUCCCUUCUUUCAUUUUAUGAGAACAAGGGAAAGAAAUCACUCUUUACAUUCUACUCUUUGACAUAAAAUAUAUUCCGAGAGGAGUUAACGAGCGGAUUCGGCGACUCGACAACGAUGAAUCACCUCAGUUCGCUAUCACGAAGAAGGUAAUCAUAUAUUUUUUUUUACUUCGUUUUUUUUUUCCAAUUGUGUAGGAGAAAAAUGUAGUUUUGUUCAAGUAUUUCCUCGUCGUUUGUUUGGUUUGGUUGGUUGGAAUGUGUCCUCUCCUCGUUUGUUGUAAAUUAGUGUAAGUCGACUAAUUUCGUCGAAUAUGUGUUCAACCUCGUCGCUGCUCGUCUUGUCAUUUUCCAUAUAUUUCUUUAGUUUUGUCACUUCUGAAUUUAUUUAGUGUGUUUAGUUGUAAUCUUGUUAGAGUCAAAUAAAUAAUUUACAUUCUCCCAUAUGUUAAGUAUAUUCGCCGUUUCUUUUAGUUUCGAAACUAGAUCAGUUUAAGGUCGGGUAAAACAAAUGACGAGGAUUAAAGUGUGUGUUUAAAUUUAAUGUAGACACUGUUUGGUAUAAUUAUUAGGAUGUGUUAGCUUCAGUUUCCUUCUAUUAUGAUCAAAGUGUGUGUUUAAAUUUAAUGUGGACACCACCAAAAUGGUUUUUUUUUACACCCGAAAGAGUAGAAACACUUAGAAACUCGGCUAAGCCUUGAGUUUUGAGGAAGUUUCUUACUCGUAGUUAAAUUUUUUAAGUCUUCCGAUUCGUCGGAAUAGUCGAUUUUUUGUGAAAGAGUGUUCCUCGUCAACUCUCAUCGCCCCUGUCGUUGCUUGACGAAAAGGUAAUUUUUUUUUAAAAGUCCCUUUCUUUUAAUUUCCGCCUUAAUCAUGUGUUAGUAUGUGUUAAGUAUGGUUGCUGUUUAUUUGCUUCUAUUUGAAAUAGAUUGGUUUAAAAUUGUGUAACGUUAACUACGUUUUAGCUUAAGGAUAAGGAUUAAGGUAUGUGCUUAAGGUUGUAUACUGGUUUGGUAUAGCUAAACUCUAGUCUUGAUAAGCAUUGGCUGAUGUAGAGGCGAAAACUUAGUAUGUGAAUUAGUUGUUUGAGUUUUCCUCUAUUCGUUCUCUAUUUGCUCUAUGUGUUCAUUUGACCCGCAAGUUUUAGCUUUGUAACCUCUUAUUCGCAAUAUCUUUAAUUGGGAGAUAAUGAUACAUGGUUGAAUUGGUUAACUUUGUGAAUUCGGUUCGAGUUUAUCAAAUGCUUUUUUUUUUCUUCAGUUCUUUGUGAUGAAUAUCGUUUGCUUAAUGUUAGUCAACUGUGAUGUUUUUCUUCUGCCUUUAGUUCUCUCAUUCACCUAGAAGCUAUAGGAUUAAGAAAGUAAUGCUCUCAUAAGUAGUUUGUUGUUCUUCCUAUCUUAAUCCAAUAAUGUUAAGUUGAUUGCUUGGCCCCUUUCAUGUUAGAACAUGGUUUCCUUUGGGGUGUUUCUAAUUCUGUUUUAGCCGUAUAAGAACCAGAUUUAAUCAUCUUUGCUAAUAGGUUGAAUCAUCUUCUCUGUUUGGAUUGCCCUUCUAUUUCCUUCUAUUUUCACCCUCUUUUGUUUAACAUAAGAAGAGGCAGGAUAAGAGUGUUUCUUUAACGUAUUAAUUAUGUUGGUUACAAGCUCAUAUGAACUGGAAGUUGCUUCAAAGUUGAGUGGCUGUUUGGUUGAUAACUUGAAUGAUUUAGUUAGAACAACACAAUAGACCAUUUAUUAUUAGCUUCCAACUAUGUUCAGAUACUGAUUCCCAUCUCAGAAUAAAUUUUCAUACUUCAUUUAUAGCAAUUGGCUUAACUAGUUUCAGAUUAACCACAAAGGGAAAUUAGUUGUAUUAGGUGGUUGUUUUGUUUAAGUUUAUUUCCAGUAGCUAAACAUCGAGCCUAGAUAAUCUCUAAAUGUGUGUUGCUGCUGUACUGUUCCCACAUUAUAUAAACACUCACCCUAUUUGAAUAUGAAUCUUCGGAGUUACUGUUUAGGUGUUAUAUUGUGUAAUAUUUCCUUUGUUUCCAAAAAAUCAUGACUGAGUUUCCUAACAUCCUUUGCUGCUAUAUGUAGCCAUGUAAUGGUCAUAUCCAGUUUCUCCUUAAGAACAGUUUUAAUAAUCUAAGCAUGAAUUGAUUCAGGAUCUCUCUCAAUUUCCUUCUCUGCUUGGUUAAGUUUUUUUUUAGAACCUCAAGUACUAUUUUCCAAACUCUUCUUUAAUCGAAUCUGGAAUGUGCACUCAGUUUACAGAUUUAAAGGCAUACUAUAGACAGCAUUGGAUAUCCGGAUAACUAUGUUAAUUUGAUGACUAAAUAAAUGAGUCACCCUCCCUUUUAGAAUAGAGAUUUGUCAAAAGCUUUCAAUUUAGGUGCAGUAGCAGUGAUUAGCUAACAUGAUCCUUACCCAUUUUUCUUGGAAUUAUUAUACAAAGGUGAUGUGCCAGCUUUGUUCACUUUUAGUGACUUUACCUUUUGUGUACUUAAUCCAAGUAUAAUCUUUCUAAAUCCUCAAAAAGAUCUUGCUUUGAGUUCUGAGAUAUCUCUUAUCACUGGAUCCUGUCUGAAUAUGUUCAGUUCUUCUUCUCUGCCUUUCUAUGAACUGCUCGGGUACUAUAUUGGAAGAUUAACUCAAUAUUUUUAGCAACACUUAGUGUGUAGAGUGCCUUAUGUUAUAUGUGUGUUAUGGCUAGCUUUUAAGUUCAUCUUUCUUGAGGUACUAUGUUUCCUUUUGUUCGCCUGAAUCUCUUAGGUUUGAUUCCUUGUGUGAUGUUUAUGACCAGUCUUGAAGUUUUCCUUUUAAGUCAUGUUGUGUUAGUUGGUAUAGUCACUUUCUGGAAGUCGUUAAGGGACUGAUUUACAGAGGCUCGUUAAUCCCAAAAUCUCAACUUUGAAAGAUAAUACUUUGUUUCUUAUAAUUUAUAGUUUCUAAAUACUUGGGUCGUAUCAUGGAACUGCUUUCUAUGCCCAUCCACUCUUAAAACCCAAAUCUUAACCCUUCUUUGACAUAUUGAUUCGGGAAAGUUUAUAUAUUUACUCAGCAAGUGUAGAAUGCCUCAUAUUCAAGUAGUCAUUAUUUCUUUUCUUCUGCUAAAUCCUUUGGCUUCUGGAUACUCAUUCUUCUUCACCCCCCUCUUUUCUUUGCAUGACUCGGGGAAAAUUUCCCAAUCCCAAAUGAUCAUGAGCUGCUAUUGAACUGGAGACCACUGCUGCUACAAACAGUUGCUUGUUUUAAGAUAGUUGCUAUAUUUUUCCAAAGUUCGGAGUGCUGUAUUUUGAUGCAAGGAGCUGCUAUAAUUGGGGACAAUUAUCUACUGUUGUCGUUGCAAGUAUUGAGGAAGAUUGUCGUCAUUUUCUUGAGCUAAAAGUGUCAUAUUCCAUCACGAACCGUUGUUCAUUUGGCGAGAAUGGCUGCUGUGUGUUUGCUGCAUUUUAUGAGGCAAAACAGAUGCUAUAAUUGAUGUCCCAAUGCUACAGUUAAGAUGAAACAACUGCCGCAUAUCAAGAUGGUUGGGUAGUUGUUUAUGAACCAAUUUUCUGGUCAACUCGUGGCCUCAUAUUGAUGAAAAUAGUGGCUGUCCUCUCAUAGUUUUAAUGCUAUCCUUGGUGCCACUUGUGACUGCCUACAGUUUCUUUUAUUACCGCAUUUUGCUGCUAUCUAGCAGCUGCUGUCUGUGGCUGCCUACUGUUACUGCUUUUGGCUGAAAAACGAACAGAUUGCUACACUUGAUAAAGGCUCACUGAUUGAAUAUGAUACAACACUAGGGCCGAUGAAAAGAAAUUUAAUUUGAGGCCAUGCCUUUGUCCGAAAAGGUUAUCCCCCUGUUUAGGCGUUGAUGACCUCAUAGUAGAAUCACGAGGUAGGAACGAACAUGCGUUUGGCGAGGCAACUAGAAUGGCCACUAGUCUGCAGCCAAGACAUGUUUCGGAUUCCUUUGCCAUAUUCGGAACCGUGAGUCUGAGCCUCCGUAAUCAAAGCUCUCAAAGUUUGAUACGAGUCCGCGGGAUAUUAUUUAUGUUCCUAAACGUCACCCGACGGGGCGGCGUAUCAUUUUUUCUAACAUUUUCCUUUCAUAUUUUUGUGAGGUACAAAUAACGCGAGGCAGUAGAACAAAGAUGUACCAAAAGUUGAAGCGAAGAAAUUUGGAAGCACCGCAUGUUUGGCCGAAGAACUAGAAAAGGGGCAAAUAGGGCUCAAGCCUUAAACCUUAUUUAUUUUUAUCUAAAUUUAUGUAUCCAAGUAUUACAUGUAUAUUUGGAUCUAUAACAAAUUGCUAACCUAUUUACUUUGGUUUUCCUUCUUAAUCCAGUUGAAACCCGAAGCU
Molecule: long non-coding RNA, 4602 nt
Organism: Lycium barbarum (goji berry)
Lineage: Eukaryota; Viridiplantae; Streptophyta; Magnoliopsida; Solanales; Solanaceae
Exons: 2
Source: RefSeq, a predicted model, not a curated record